This 66-nucleotide transfer RNA is filed under the name Niphades castanea. RNAcentral's name for it is "tRNA-Trp". The record is from RNAcentral. Lineage: Eukaryota; Metazoa; Arthropoda; Insecta; Coleoptera; Curculionidae.
AAGAAUUUAAGUUAAUAAAACUAUUGACCUUCAAAGUCAAACUUAGAGAAAAUUCUCUAAUUCUUA